UGGCAUAUGAUGAAAUC
This 17-nucleotide small RNA is filed under the name Arabidopsis thaliana (thale cress). RNAcentral's name for it is "ATSL119680". The record is from RNAcentral. Lineage: Eukaryota; Viridiplantae; Streptophyta; Magnoliopsida; Brassicales; Brassicaceae.